GGAUGUGAGGGGGAUCUGGCUGUGACAUCUGUCAUCCCAUUGAUCACCAGCAUUGAUUCGGCUGAUCUGGCUGCCUAGGCAGGUGUCCCCUUCCUCCCUCAGUGCUCUAUGUGCAUCCCUCCUGAAGCUGUGUGCUCGGUUGAAGAGGAUGAUCACCCUCGAUAGAGGACCGUUCCUCAGUCAAGGGUAUACAAGUAGCUGUGCUCCCCUCCAAACAAGCUCUCAAGAAACACUGAGUCGGAUCCACCCUUGGACAACCCUAUGAGAAGAGAAGGAAAGAGUGAGGCCAAGAGCUGGGAGGGGGAGCCAAGUUGGGGUUCAAAUCCAGCAAGAGUUAGGCUGUGGACUAACCUGACUUUCU
Molecule: small nuclear RNA, 361 nt
Filed under: Chinchilla lanigera (long-tailed chinchilla)
Lineage: Eukaryota; Metazoa; Chordata; Mammalia; Rodentia; Chinchillidae
Description: 7SK RNA (ENSCLAG00000021471.1)
Rfam family: 7SK RNA
About the family: 7SK was discovered as an abundant small nuclear RNA in the mid-70s but a possible function has only recently been suggested.
Source: Rfam by way of RNAcentral